CCUACGGGAGGCAGCAGUGGGGAAUUUUGCGCAAUGGGGGAAACCCUGACGCAGCGACGCCGCGUGGAGGAUGAAGGCCUUCGGGUUGUAAACUCCUUUUGUGGGGGACAAUGGUGAUGGUACCCCAUGAAUAAGCCACGGCUAACUCUGUGCCAGCAGCCGCGGUAAGACAGAGGUGGCAAGCGUUGUUCGGAAUCACUGGGCUUAAAGGGCGUGUAGGCGGCAUUGCAAGUCUGGGGUGGAAUCCGGUGGCUUAACCCCCGAACGGCCCUGGAAACUGCAUUGCUUGAGUCAGUGAGGGGAGGGCGAAAUUCCCGGUGUAGCAGUAAAAUGCGUAGAUAUCGGGAGGAAGGCCGGGGGCGAAGGCGGCCCCCUGGCGCUUGCCUGACGCUGAGGCGCGAAAGCGUGGGGAGCAAACAGGAUAAGAUCCCCGGGUAGU
RNAcentral lists this ribosomal RNA (439 nucleotides) under uncultured Nitrospirales bacterium. RNAcentral's name for it is "partial 16S ribosomal RNA". It matches the Rfam family "Bacterial small subunit ribosomal RNA", at positions 338 to 794 of the family's 1533-position model. Lineage: Bacteria; Pseudomonadati; Nitrospirota; Nitrospiria; Nitrospirales. The record is from RNAcentral.